This 68-nucleotide transfer RNA is filed under the name Marmota marmota marmota (Alpine marmot). It matches the Rfam family "tRNA". Rfam says of the family: Transfer RNA (tRNA) molecules are approximately 80 nucleotides in length. Their secondary structure includes four short double-helical elements and three loops (D, anti-codon, and T loops). Further hydrogen bonds mediate the characteristic L-shaped molecular structure. tRNAs have two regions of fundamental functional importance: the anti-codon, which is responsible for specific mRNA codon recognition, and the 3' end, to which the tRNAs corresponding amino acid is attached (by aminoacyl-tRNA synthetases). tRNAs cope with the degeneracy of the genetic code in two manners: having more than one tRNA (with a specific anti-codon) for a particular amino acid; and 'wobble' base-pairing, i.e. permitting non-standard base-pairing at the 3rd anti-codon position. Lineage: Eukaryota; Metazoa; Chordata; Mammalia; Rodentia; Sciuridae. RNAcentral also lists the same sequence under 1 other name. The record is from Rfam by way of RNAcentral.
GGAAUUGUGGCUCAGCGGUAGAGUGCUCCCCUAGGACGGGUGGGACCCGGGUUCAAUUCUCAGCACCA